CUACGGGUCGCUGCAGUGGGGAAUAUUGGACAAUGGGCGAAAGCCUGAUCCAGCAAUACCGCGUGAAUGAUGAAGGCCUUAGGGUUGUAAAGUUCUUUUAGUUGGAAAGAUAAUGACGGUACCAACAGAAAAAGCCCCGGCUAACUCCGUGCCAGCAGCCGCGGUAAGACGGAGGGGGCUAGCGUUGUUCGGAAUUACUGGGCGUAAAGGGCGUGUAGGCGGAUUAGUAAGUUGGGAGUGAAAGCCCGGGGCUUAACCUCGGAACUGCUUUCAAAACUGCUAGUCUUGAGUGAAGUAGGGGAUGAUGGAAUUCCUAGUGUAGAGGUGAAAUUCUUAGAUAUUAGGAGGAACACCGGUGGCGAAGGCGGUCAUCUGGACUUCAACUGACGCUGAGGCGCGAAAGCGUGGGGAGCAAACAGGAUUAGAUACCCCAGUAGUC
Molecule: ribosomal RNA, 439 nt
Filed under: uncultured bacterium
Lineage: Bacteria
Description: partial 16S ribosomal RNA
Rfam family: Bacterial small subunit ribosomal RNA
Source: RNAcentral